UACGGAGGAUGCGAGCGUUAUCCGGAUUUAUUGGGUUUAAAGGGUGCGUAGGCGGUCCGUUAAGUCAGCGGUAAAAUUGCGGGGCUCAACCCCGUCGAGCCGUUGAAACUGUCAGACUUGAGUUGGCGAGAAGUACGCGGAAUGCGCGGUGUAGCGGUGAAAUGCAUAGAUAUCGCGCAGAACUCCGAUUGCGAAGGCAGCGUACCGGCGCCACACUGACGCUGAGGCACGGAAGCGUGGGGAUCGAACAGG
RNAcentral lists this ribosomal RNA (252 nucleotides) under uncultured bacterium. RNAcentral describes it as "partial 16S ribosomal RNA". It matches the Rfam family "Bacterial small subunit ribosomal RNA", at positions 524 to 776 of the family's 1533-position model. The record is from RNAcentral.